Molecule: ribosomal RNA, 253 nt
Filed under: uncultured bacterium
Lineage: Bacteria
Description: partial 16S ribosomal RNA
Rfam family: Bacterial small subunit ribosomal RNA
Source: RNAcentral
GACAGAGGCCUCGAGCGUUAGGCGGAAUCACUGGGCUUAAAGCGUGUGUAGGCGGAGGCGUAAGGACCUUGUGAAAUCCCACGGCUCAACCGUGGAACUGCUGGGUAUACUGCGUCUCUUGAGUCACUCAGGGGCGAGCGGAACAGAUGGUGGGGCGGUGAAAUGCGUAGAUAUCAUCUGGAACGCCAAUGGUGAAGACAGCUCGCUGGGGGUGUACUGACGCUGAGACACGAAAGCCAGGGGAGCGAACGGG